UUUUCGUCAAUGGGGGAAACCCUGAACGAGCAACGCCGCGUGCAGGAAGAAGGUUUUCGGAUCGUAAACUGCUUUUCCUGGGGAAGAGAUUUGGACGGUACCCAGGGAAGAAGCCCCGGCUAACUACGUGCCAGCAGCCGCGGUAAUACGUAGGGGGCAAGCGUUGUCCGGAUUUAUUGGGCGUAAAGGGCAUGCAGGCGGUCGGUCAAGUUCCGAGUGACAGGUGGUGGCUUAACUGCCACAGGCCUCGGAAAACUGAGUGACUUGAGGGCUUCAGAGGGACACGGAAUUCCAGGUGGAGCGGUGAAAUGCGUAGAGAUCUGGAAGAACACCAAUGGCGAAGGCAGUGUCCUGGGAAGCAUCUGACGCUGAGGUGCGAAAGCCAGGGGAGCGAAC
This 396-nucleotide ribosomal RNA is filed under the name uncultured bacterium. RNAcentral describes it as "bacterial SSU rRNA". It matches the Rfam family "Bacterial small subunit ribosomal RNA", at positions 362 to 773 of the family's 1533-position model. The record is from RNAcentral.